CGGACUGUAGGCUGCAACUCGCCUACACGAAGCUGGAAUCGCUAGUAAUCGCGGAUCAGCACGCCGCGGUGAAUACGUUCCCGGGCCUUGUACACACCGCCCGUCACACCAUGAGAGUCGGGAACACCCGAAGUCCGUAGCCUAACCGCAAGGGGGCGCGGCCGAAGGUGGGUUCGAUAAUUGGGGUGAAGUCGUAACAAGGUAAC
RNAcentral lists this ribosomal RNA (206 nucleotides) under uncultured bacterium. Its description in RNAcentral is "partial 16S ribosomal RNA". It matches the Rfam family "Bacterial small subunit ribosomal RNA", at positions 1294 to 1500 of the family's 1533-position model. The record is from RNAcentral.